Molecule: ribosomal RNA, 478 nt
Filed under: uncultured bacterium
Lineage: Bacteria
Description: bacterial SSU rRNA
Rfam family: Bacterial small subunit ribosomal RNA
Source: RNAcentral
ACUACGCUGGCGGCGUGCCUAACACAUGCAAGUCGUACGAGAAAGCCGGCUUCGGCUGGUGAGUAAAGUGGCGCACGGGUGAGUAACGCGUGGAUAAUCUGCCCUUAAGUGUGGAAUAACGUACCGAAAGGUGCGCUAAUACCGCAUAAUGCCUGGCAACACAAGUUGUCCGGCCAAAGAAGGCCUCUGUUUACAAGCUUUCGCUUCAGGAUGAGUCCGCGUACCAUUAGCUUGUUGGUGGGGUAAUGGCCUACCAAGGCGACGAUGGGUAGCCGGCCUGAGAGGGUGACCGGCCACACUGGAACUGAGACACGGUCCAGACUCCUACGGGAGGCAGCAGUGGGGAAUCUUCCGCAAUGGGCGAAAGCCUGACGGAGCAACGCCGCGUGAGUGAAGAAGGCCUUCGGGUUGUAAAACUCUGUCAUCAGGGAAGAAGAAAGUGACGGUACCUGAGGAGGAAGCCCCGGCUAACUACGUG